Molecule: ribosomal RNA, 797 nt
Filed under: uncultured bacterium
Lineage: Bacteria
Description: bacterial SSU rRNA
Rfam family: Bacterial small subunit ribosomal RNA
Source: RNAcentral
CCCUUAGAGUUUGAUCCUGGCUCAUAAUGAACGUUGGCGGCGUGGAUUAGGCAUGCAAGUCGAGCGAGAACCCGCAAGGGGGACAGCGGCAAACGGGGUAGGAACGCGUAGGUUACGUACCCUCAGGUCGGGGAUAGCCACGGGGAACUGUGGGUAAUACCCGAUAACGUCGAGAGACCAAAGGUGUGAUUCCACCUGGGGAGCGGCCUGCGUAGUAUUAGCUUGUUGGUGAGGUAAUGGCUCACCAAGGCGAAGAUGCUUAGGGGGUGUGAGAGCAUGGCCCCCACCACUGGGACUGAGAUACUGCCCAGACACCUACGGGUGGCUGCAGUCGAGAAUCUUCGGCAAUGGGCGCAAGCCUGACCGAGCGACGCCGCGUGUGGGAUGAAGGCCCUUGGGUUGUAAACCACUGUCAGAGGGGAUGAAAUGCCAGAGAGCUAUCUCUUUGGUUUGACAUAGCCUCAGAGGAAGCACGGGCUAAGUUCGUGCCAGCAGCCGCGGUAAUACGAACUGUGCAAACGUUAUUCGGAAUCACUGGGCUUAAAGGGUGCGUAGGCGGCUUGUUAAGUAGGGUGUGAAAUCCCCCGGCUCAACCGGGGAAUUGCGCCCUAAACUGGCGAGCUGGAGUGAGAUAGGGGUGUGUGGAACUUCCAGUGGAGCGGUGAAAUGUGUUGAUAUUGGAAGGAACGCCAGUGGCGAAAGCGACACACUGGGUCUCAACUGACGCUGAGGCACGAAAGCCAGGGGAGCAAACGGGAUAGAUACCCCGGUAGUCCUGGCCGUAACGAUGAGCACUA